CAAUAGCGUAUAUUAAAGUUGUUGCAGUUAAAACGCCCGUAGUUGAACAUCUGCCCUUUUCCGGUUAGGUCCGCUCUGCGUGCACCUUCCGAAAUCGGCAUCCGUCUGCGUUGCUUCGCAUUGCAGACCGUUCACUUUGAGGAAAUUAGAGUGUUCAAAGCAGGCUUACGCCUUGAAUACUUCAGCAUGGAAUGAUUGAUAGGACUUCUAUCCUAUCUUGGUUCUAGGGACAGAAGUAAUGGUAAACAGGGUUGGUUAGGGGCAUUCGUACUGAACAGUCAGAGGUGAAAUUCUUAGAUUUGUUCAAGACGAACAACUGCGAAAGCAUUUGCCAAGGACGACCCCAUUAA
Molecule: ribosomal RNA, 350 nt
Filed under: uncultured eukaryote
Lineage: Eukaryota
Description: partial 18S ribosomal RNA
Rfam family: Eukaryotic small subunit ribosomal RNA
Source: RNAcentral